This is a long non-coding RNA of Xenia sp. Carnegie-2017, 384 nucleotides long. RefSeq lists it as uncharacterized. The transcript is spliced from 2 exons. NCBI's taxonomy places the organism in Eukaryota, Metazoa, Cnidaria, Anthozoa, Malacalcyonacea, Xeniidae. The record is from RefSeq and is a predicted model, not a curated record.
CACAUUGAUUGACUUCUAUCUGAACAAUUUCAUGCUACAGUAGCAAAUUAAAAAAAAUGAAAAAUGAUGUACUUAUAAGAAGAAAACAAGAACGCAAAGUCAAGAAGUUCAAUGAAAUUACCUCGAAAACAUUUGAAUGCAACAACUACGAUAAUCAUUUAUCAAAGAAUAACCUGUAUGUACUUUUUAUUAAUAAGAGAAGAAAAUACUCAAAUCAAAGAACAAACCUAUACACAUAACAUUGAGUAAAUGUUGUAACUACAAGAUGAUCAAAAGCAAGAGAUGUCUUCAUUACUCGAUCACGAAAAUCUAAAUAAAAAAUAAAAAAGCAUUAUUAGAAAUUAUUAAGUCAAAGACUGCUCGUCACAUGUCCUAUAUACGUAA